UACGUAGGGUGCAGGCGUUAAUCGGAAUUACUGGGCGUAAAGCGUGCGCAGGCGGUUUGCUAAGACAGGUGUGAAAUCCCCAGGCUUAACCUGGGAACUGCGCUUGUAACUGGCAAGCUGGAGUGUGGCAGAGGGGGGUGGAAUUCCACGUGUAGCAGUGAAAUGCGUAGAGAUGUGGAGGAACACCGAUGGCGAAGGCAGCCCCCUGGGCUAACACUGACGCUCAUGCACGAAAGCGUGGGGAGCAAACAGG
This 253-nucleotide ribosomal RNA is filed under the name uncultured bacterium. Its description in RNAcentral is "partial 16S ribosomal RNA". It matches the Rfam family "Bacterial small subunit ribosomal RNA", at positions 524 to 776 of the family's 1533-position model. The record is from RNAcentral.